CAGGAGGAGCGAGGCGUUCUAGUACUAGUACCGCCGGUACAGCAGCUUCUCCGGCCAGGAAUCGGCCACAUCCGUUGGUGCUACCUUGGGAGGGGCAGCAGUUUUCAGGAAGGGACAAGUCAAGAGGCAUUGGAGCUGUACAAGGACAUCGGAGUCUUGGCUGUAAUUUGGAGUUCUACAAGGGCACCGGACGCUUGGCUGUAAUUUCGCUAUCAGUUACUUGUUAUCUUUAAGAUCUCAUGAUAAGUGUGCGUAAGAGUAUGUGGUAAGACUGCUGUUGGGCAAGCCAUGGCGGUGAGUUCACCACGCCACAACCGCGGUGGUGGUGCUAUCUCGGUUUCGCUACAAUUCUCUCAUGUGAGUAGGACACGAGGAAUCUGGAACACCUGGAGCGGUGGCCUUCUUCGACUCCAUGUUGUGUCUAGGUAGAUUCUGUAUGUGGUGUGGCUGCUCAGUAGACCGUGACGGCAAGUUCACCGUGCCACAACUACGGUGUUGGUGCCAUCUCGGCUGCUCCGAAAAUUCUAUCAGUUGUUGCGUCCGAAGCUGAGCUGCUUGAGGCGGCCAUGGGAGCUGGUUUGAAGCUGAAGUUGACCCUGCUGAUGGCGUUGAUGUGUUUAUGUGUUGUGAGUACUAUUUCAGCUAUUGUAAUACAAUUCAGUAUUCAAGUUGUAGCCAUGGGAAGCUGUAACAAAUUGUUUCCUUUGCACGUUGGUGAUCUUGAUGAUUUGAACUUGCCUUGCUGGGAAAUGAAACUUGUGUAGUUACGUGACCUGGU
This is a long non-coding RNA of Lolium rigidum, 778 nucleotides long. RefSeq lists it as uncharacterized. The record is from RefSeq and is a predicted model, not a curated record. NCBI's taxonomy places the organism in Eukaryota, Viridiplantae, Streptophyta, Magnoliopsida, Poales, Poaceae. The transcript has 6 exons.